Molecule: long non-coding RNA, 1207 nt
Organism: Daucus carota subsp. sativus
Lineage: Eukaryota; Viridiplantae; Streptophyta; Magnoliopsida; Apiales; Apiaceae
Exons: 2
Source: RefSeq, a predicted model, not a curated record
UAGCGGGUGUAAUGAUGGAAAAAACUUACUAUUUAUGAUAACGUAAAGAAAUGAGAGGGAUAUCCCAAAAUAGUAACUAUAAAGAAAUGAGAGGGAUAUCCCAAAAUAGUAACUAUAAAGAAAUGAGAGGGAGCGAGGGAGUAUAUUUUACGAGGAUUUUAGUUAAUCUUCACCCAAUUAACUGCACAUAGUUGAAAAAAUUGAAUACAUGACAUGCAGUCACGAUAAGUAACUGCAAUUGUGCCAAUGUCCUGAUACGGCAUUGUUUAGACUUUAGCAGCAGCAGAGCAGCAGCUUGCAGCUUUCUCCUUAUUCAUUCCUCCUCUUACCUAGAAACAAACAACUUGUAUUUAUACGCAAAUAUUACCUUCAUUUAUCAACUACAUAUUCUUCUACAUAUUAACUACAUCUUCUGUUUUCUUUGGUUUCUUUUCUUGACCAAGUUGAGCACUGCAAACACUCCUCUAUGGAGUGGUCUCCCCCGGAUGCUAUGACAGCUUUCUUCAGAACAUCAGACUUGUGUAAAAUCCACAGACAAGCUGGUAGGCAAGGGAGCACAAGGCAAGUUUUCGAACCGGAGUGCAUGGAGUUCGUAUCAGCCUUAGCAGCAGGAAGGCAAGCAAAACUCAUAGUAGAAAUCACCACACAAGGCAUCACACCACUCACACUCGCACUCGCGGUGGCCGCAACACAAACUGGAGGCCAUCUCAUCUGCAUAGUCCCUCACAAGACGACCAAAAAUAUAAUCUCUAAUCAGCUUAAACAACAUUUCGAACUGGACAAGGUGGCGAGGAUCGUGAUCGGAGAUCCAUGCCAAGUGAUCAAGCACUACAAGAGCAUCGACUUUGCUGUUAUAGAUGGUAAAUAUGAAGAUCAUUUGAGAUUGUUCAAGAUUAUAAUAGACAUGAAGCAGAAAGGGUCAGUUGUGGUAGUUAAUAGUAAAGUGUGUAGAAAAUCAUUUGGAGAAGUUGUUAAGGGAAAGAGAGGAUCCGUUGAAUCGGUGGUGAGUUUCCCGUUUGGUCAAGGCAUGGAGCUGACAAGGAUGGGAUCGUCUAAUUCUUGUAGAUCUGGAAAAUCAAGAAGGUUUUAUACAGUAGAGGAAUUAAUUAGGCAGCAAAAAAUUUACUUGCUGUGUCAAUUUGUGCCGAUAAUGUAAAUGCGAAUAAAAAUAUAUUGAGGGGAUUAAGAAUCAGUUUUGUGUUUAUGA